UACAGAGGGUGCAAGCGUUGUUCGGAAUUACUGGGCGUAAAGCGCGUGUAGGUGGCGAUGUAAGUCGGGUGUGAAAUCCCUCAGCUUAACUGAGGAAGUGCACUCGAUACUGUGUCGCUUGAGUGUUGGAGGGGAUGGCGGAAUUCCCGGUGUAGAGGUGAAAUUCGUAGAUAUCGGGAGGAACACCUGUGGCGAAGGCGGCCAUCUGGACAACUACUGACACUGAGACGCGGAAGCGUGGGUAGCAAACAGG
This 253-nucleotide ribosomal RNA is filed under the name uncultured bacterium. Its description in RNAcentral is "partial 16S ribosomal RNA". It matches the Rfam family "Bacterial small subunit ribosomal RNA", at positions 524 to 776 of the family's 1533-position model. The record is from RNAcentral.